Molecule: long non-coding RNA, 205 nt
Filed under: Elaeis guineensis (African oil palm)
Lineage: Eukaryota; Viridiplantae; Streptophyta; Magnoliopsida; Arecales; Arecaceae
Description: long non-coding RNA (EGUI_LNC055328)
Source: RNAcentral
AUUAUCUCAAGCUGGAUAGUAAUGGUUACUAUUUAUGGUCAGUUAGUCAAUCAAAUUUCAGACUUAGUCGACCCACUGAAGUGAGUUGACUCAGUUCAGGGAUGAGCUGACCUAGUUUUUAGAAUAAAAAAUUUUACAUAAAAAUGAUAUAAAAUUAUUUUAUUUUAAUUAAUAACCUUAACCCAUAUUAAUACUAUACUUAAUU